Molecule: ribosomal RNA, 382 nt
Filed under: uncultured eukaryote
Lineage: Eukaryota
Description: SSU rRNA
Rfam family: Eukaryotic small subunit ribosomal RNA
Source: RNAcentral
AGCUCCAAUAGCGUAUAUUAAAAUUGUUGCAGUUAAAAAGCUCGUAGUUGGAUUUCGGAUUGGGGCUACUGGUCCGCCUCACGGUGUGUUACUGGUGGCUCUGAUCUUCAGCCUGAGGACGGCGUGUGCUCUUUGUUGAGUGGGCGUUGGACUCAGGCGGUUUACUGUGAAAAAAUUAGAGUGUUCAAAGCAGGCUAUACGCUUGAAUAAUUCUGCAUGGAAUAAUGGAAGAGGACUCGGCUUCGCAUUUUCGUUGGUUUCAAGAAGCCAAGUAAUGAUUAAGAGGAACAGACGGGGGCAUCCAUAUUGUGACGCUAGAGGUGAAAUUCUUGGACCGUCGCAAGAUGAACCACAGCGAAAGCAUUUGCCAAGAAUGUUUUCA